GGAGGGAUGGCCGAGCGGUCGAAGGCGCACGCCUGGAAAGUGUGUAUACGGUAAAACGUAUCGUGGGUUCGAAUCCCACUCCCUCCGCCA
RNAcentral lists this transfer RNA (90 nucleotides) under Tistrella bauzanensis. Its description in RNAcentral is "tRNA-Ser". It matches the Rfam family "tRNA". From Rfam's summary of the family: Transfer RNA (tRNA) molecules are approximately 80 nucleotides in length. Their secondary structure includes four short double-helical elements and three loops (D, anti-codon, and T loops). Lineage: Bacteria; Pseudomonadati; Pseudomonadota; Alphaproteobacteria; Geminicoccales; Geminicoccaceae. The record is from RNAcentral. RNAcentral also lists the same sequence under 1 other name.